Molecule: ribosomal RNA, 434 nt
Filed under: uncultured Glomus
Lineage: Eukaryota; Fungi; Glomeromycota; Glomeromycetes; Glomerales; Glomeraceae
Description: SSU rRNA
Rfam family: Eukaryotic small subunit ribosomal RNA
Source: RNAcentral
GCGUAUAUUAAGUUGUUGCAGUUAAAAAGCUCGUAGUUGAAUUUCGGGAUCAAUUUGCUGGUCGUGCCUCUGGUACGUACUGGUAUUAUUGGUUUCUCCCUUCUGACGAACCAUGAUGUCAUUAAUUUGAUGUCGUGGAGAAUCAGGACUGUUACUUUGAAAAAAUUAGAGUGUUUAAAGCAGGCAUUAGCUUGAAUACAUUAGCAUGGAAUAAUGAAAUAGGACGUUUGAUCCUAUUUUGUUGGUUUCUAGGAUUGACGUAAUGAUUAAUAGGGAUAGUUGGGGGCAUUAGUAUUCAAUUGUCAGAGGUGAAAUUCUUGGAUUUAUUGAAGACUAACUACUGCGAAAGCAUUUGCCAAGGAUGUUUUCAUUAAUCAAGAACGAAAGUUAGGGGAUCGAAGACGAUCAGAUACCGUCGUAGUCUUAACCAUAAA